CUCUCUGGCUUAGACUGGGAGACUAGUCUAGUUCCUUUUUGGAGCUUGAGAACCAGGGCGGGAGAAUGGCGUCCCUCAAGACCCUCGUGGAUGUGGUUCUCUCAGGCCAACGUUCCUUCCUCGGGGACUGUCCUGGAGAGGCUUUGGCCCUUACCUCUCCCCAGCUCAGCCCCUGGGCCACAGCUCUGGGUCAUACAGCCUCCUAAAAUCCUGAGCUGUUCUUUACUGUGCCACAUUUUUAUCACAUUUGAGUGCCUGCUGUGUGCCAUGCACGUUUCUAAUCCUUAAAUGGAUGAAACAAAAGCCUUAGAUGUUACAGUGGAGAAGAAAAAUCAAGACAAAAAUACCCAAUAUAUCUUAGGGUGACAAAUGCUAAGGAGAAAAACGGAGGAAGGAGUCCCUUCUCUCACUGAUGAGUCUGAAGACGGAACUGGGCUACGAUGGGCAGCCUCCCCCCACGACUCUGAGACCGGCCGACCUAUACAACCUCGUGGACGCACCCAGAAGUGAUGGUUUACCAGCUCCCCGAGCCUCCCUGAGCCCAGUCAAGUUGAUGCAGGAAGUUAACCAUCACAAGUCUUGGGAUAAGAUCGUCCUGGAUUCUCCAGUGGCAUAAAUCCAAUGACAGAUGUCCUUAGGAGGACAGGAAAAGGCAGAGAGAAGUAUGAGACAGGUAGACAGGUAAAGAGUCCACAAGCAGAAGUUGGCAACCCCGAGCCAAGGAAUGCUUGCAGCCACCAGAGGCUGGAAGAGACAAAGAAGGAUCCUCCCCUAGGGCCUGCGGAGGAAGUGUGGGCCUGUCAGCAUCUUGACAUGGGGCUUCUGGCCCCACAAACUGUUCGAAAAUAGAUGUCUGCU
Leopardus geoffroyi (Geoffroy's cat) is the source of this 858-nucleotide long non-coding RNA. RefSeq lists it as uncharacterized. NCBI's taxonomy places the organism in Eukaryota, Metazoa, Chordata, Mammalia, Carnivora, Felidae. The record is from RefSeq and is a predicted model, not a curated record. The transcript has 3 exons.